AUUCGGAAACGGAUGCUAAUACCGCAUACGCACUACGGUGGAAAGUGGGGGAUCUUCGGACCUCACGCUAUUGGAUGAGCCCAAGUCGGAUUAGCUUGUAGGUAGGGUAAUGGCCUACCUAGGCGACGAUCCGUAGCUGGUCUGAGAGGACGAUCAGCCACACUGGGACUGAGACACGGCCCAGACUCCUACGGGAGGCAGCAGUGGGGAAUAUUGGACAAUGGGCGCAAGCCUGAUCCAGCAAUGCCGCGUGUGUGAAGAAGGCCUGCGGGUUGUAAAGCACUUUCAGUAGAGAAGAAAAGCCUAGGGUUAAUACCCCUGAGUCUUGACGUAACCUACAGAAGAAGCACCGGCUAACUCCGUG
This 364-nucleotide ribosomal RNA is filed under the name uncultured bacterium. Its description in RNAcentral is "bacterial SSU rRNA". It matches the Rfam family "Bacterial small subunit ribosomal RNA", at positions 148 to 507 of the family's 1533-position model. The record is from RNAcentral.